CGAGUUUACAGGCCGUGUGUGUCUUGCACCGUGUGAAGGCUCUUGUGUUCUUGGUAUCAUUGAGAAUCCUGUUUCCAUCAAAUAUUGAAUGCUUGAUCAUAGACAAGGCCUUUUGAAGAGGGUGGAUGGUGCCCCGGCCACCCCAGAAGAGAACAGGGAAAAAAGUUGCGAUUGUGGGAAGUGGACCAGCUGGAUUGGCUGCAGCUGACCAGCUGAACAGGAUGGGCCAUUUUGUGACAGUGUAUGAGCGUGGCGAUCAAAUUGGGGGCCUAAUGAAGUAUGGUGUGCCAAACAUGAAGACUGACAAAGUGGAUGUAGUUCAACGGCGAGUUAACUUGAUGGCUUAGGAAGGUGUCAAUUUUGUGGUGAAUGCCAGCGUUGGGAAGGAUUCAUCAUACUCUCUUGAUAGGCUCCAAAGGAAAAUGAUGCUAUUGUUUUAGCUGUUGGCGCCACAAAACCAAGGGACCUUCCUGUACCUGGACGCGAAUUGUCAGGUGUUCAUUUUGCCAUGGAGUUCCUUCAUGCAAACACAAAGAGCUUGCUUGACAGCAAUCUCAAGGAUGGUAACUACAUAUCUGCAAAGGGAAAGAAGGUAGUGGUCAUUUGUGGAGGUGACACUGGCACGGAUUGCAUAGGAACAUCUAUCAGGCAUGGCUGCUGUAGAAUUGUAAACUUGGAGUUGCUUUCUAAGCCACUGGAGAAGAGGGCUCCAGGCAACCCUUGGCCACAGUGGCCUCGCGUCUACCAUGUUGAUUAUGGCCACCAGGAAGCUGCAGCUAAGUUUGGGAAAGACCCAAGGUCUUAUGAAGUGCUAACUAAGCAGUUUAUUGGUGAUGAAAAUGGGGUCGUUAAAGGGCUUGAAGUAGUGCGUGUUAGGUGGGAGAAGGAUGCUAGUGGGAAGUUUCAGUUCAAAGAAAUUGAGGAUCUGAGGAAAUCAUUGAGGCUGAUCUGGUUUUACUGGCCAUGGGAUUCCUUGGUCUAGAAUCGACUAUUGUAGACAAGUUGGGUCUAGAGAGAGAUGGCAGGUCAAACUUCAAGGCUGACUAUGGCCGGUUUGCGACCAAUGUGGAGGGAGUUUUUGCUGCUGGGGAUUGCUGAUGUGGUCAGUCUCUGGUGGUGUGGGCCAUCUCCGAGGAAGGCAAGCUGCGGUGCAGGUCGAUAGAUUCCUCAUGCCAAAGGAGGAGGAUCUCACCGUCGACCCUGAGGCAUAUAUCUUCUUUCAAAUUAUUCAAUGCGGCAUGAAUUGCUAAUUGUAUCAUGCUCGCCUGUGGGGGGAGCCAUCUUCAAGUCCUUAUUGUUCUUUUAUUAAUGUAACAAGAUUCUCAUUGCCACCCAAAGUCACUUUUCAUCAUUGAGGCAAUACUUUCGUUCGGGAAGAAGGUGGGUGUAAAAUAGAAAAAGCAGAGAAUGUCAUUUUUGUCAUGUCCUUUCCACAGUUGCUCGUGUUGGAAAAUAGGCAUCUCGAAGCUUUGAUUCGUCUGUUGUUAUUUAUUGUGCAGUAUUGGAAAAUAGGCAUCUCGAAGCUUUGAUUCGUUUGUUGUUAUUUAUUGUGCAGUAUUUUGUUGUUUGAUCACAAGAAUGUAGCACUUUUGAACUUAA
Molecule: long non-coding RNA, 1599 nt
Organism: Eucalyptus grandis
Lineage: Eukaryota; Viridiplantae; Streptophyta; Magnoliopsida; Myrtales; Myrtaceae
Exons: 5
Source: RefSeq, a predicted model, not a curated record